Molecule: small nucleolar RNA, 131 nt
Filed under: Carlito syrichta (Philippine tarsier)
Lineage: Eukaryota; Metazoa; Chordata; Mammalia; Primates; Tarsiidae
Description: Small nucleolar RNA SNORA40 (ENSTSYG00000031906.1)
Rfam family: Small nucleolar RNA SNORA40
About the family: The snoRNA ACA 40 belongs to the H/ACA family of snoRNAs and guides the pseudouridylation of 28S rRNA subunit at position U4565.
Source: Rfam by way of RNAcentral
AGCACUGAGUAUAUUUUUGUUUAACUUCUGAACAAAGACUUACAGACAAGUACAAAAAUAAUAAUAAUUCUCUUUUGCAACUCAGAAUUUACUGUUCAGUAUGAGUUUUGAUAUAGAUAAGACGGAAUAUU